UCAGGUUUUGGAAGCAUCGGGCUAAGUGGUGAUUAUGCUCAGGUUUUGAUGCAGUGAGAUUCAGAUAAUUUUAAGAAACACAUGUAAAGGAGUCCAAAUAGGACGGGCUCGGUGUACAUGGUUUUCAGUUAAUGCAGUUUAGGUCUGACCAUCACAAGUGGCAACAGGCAGUAGUGGAGAAGGCAUGAAGAGGCCCACAUCUGAAAAUCUCAACUAUUCUAGGAUUUUCGAGCUGCUGACCAUGUGAUUGGUAGCCGACGAUUUCUUCAUGGGUUGCUG
Triticum dicoccoides is the source of this 279-nucleotide long non-coding RNA. RefSeq lists it as uncharacterized. The record is from RefSeq and is a predicted model, not a curated record. The transcript is spliced from 4 exons. Lineage: Eukaryota; Viridiplantae; Streptophyta; Magnoliopsida; Poales; Poaceae.